UGUAAUGUGCAUUUUCUUCGGAACGCCGGAGACAGGUGGUGCAUGGUUGUCGUCAGCUCGUGUCGUGAGAUGUUGGGUUAAGUCCCGCAACGAGCGCAACCCCUGUCCUUAGUAGCCAGCAUUUCGGGUGGGCACUCUAGGGAGACUGCCAGGGAUAACCUGGAGGAAGGCGGGGAUGACGUCAAAUCAUCAUGCCCCUUAUGGCUUGGGCUACACACGUGCUACAAUGGCGUAAACAAAGGGAAGCGAGCCCGCGAGGGGGAGCGAAUCCCAAAAAUAACGUCCCAGUUCGGACUGUAGUCUGCAACCCGACUACACGAAGCUGGAAUCGCUAGUAAUCGCGAAUCAGAAUGUCGCGGUGAAUACGUUCCCGGGUCUUGUACACACCGCCCGUCACACCAUGGGAGUCGGGAAUGCCCGAAGCCGGUGACCCAACCGAAAGGAGGGAGCCGUCGAAGGCAGGUCUGAUAACUGGGGUGAAGUCGUAACAAGGUAGCCGUAUCGGAAGGUGCGGCUGGAUCACCUC
RNAcentral lists this ribosomal RNA (526 nucleotides) under uncultured bacterium. Its description in RNAcentral is "bacterial SSU rRNA". It matches the Rfam family "Bacterial small subunit ribosomal RNA", at positions 1002 to 1529 of the family's 1533-position model. The record is from RNAcentral.